AUUGAACGCUGGCGGCAUGCUUUACACAUGCAAGUCGAACGGCAGCGCGGGCUUCGGCCUGGCGGCGAGUUGCGAACGGGUGAGUAAUGCAUCGGAACGUGCCCAGUCGUUGGGGAUAGCCCGGCGAAAGCCGGCUUAAUACCGCAUACGACCUGAGGGUGAAAGCGGGGGACCGAAAGGCCUCGCGCUAUUUGCGCGGCCGAUGUCGGAUUAGCUAGUUGGUGGGGUAAAGGCUUACCAAGGCGACGAUCCGUAGCUGGUCUGAGAGGACGACCAGCCACACUGGAACUGAGACACGGCCCAGACUCCUACGGGAGGCAGCAGUGGGGAAUUUUGGACAAUGGGGGCAACCCUGACCCAGCCAUGCCGCGUGCGGGAAGAAGGCCUUCGGGUUGUAAACCGCUUUUGUUCGGGAAGAAAUACUCUGGGCUAAUACCCCGGGGGGAUGACGGUACCGGAAGAAUAAGCACCGGCUAACUACGUG
RNAcentral lists this ribosomal RNA (484 nucleotides) under uncultured bacterium. RNAcentral describes it as "partial 16S ribosomal RNA". It matches the Rfam family "Bacterial small subunit ribosomal RNA", at positions 28 to 507 of the family's 1533-position model. The record is from RNAcentral.